Long non-coding RNA from Homo sapiens (human), 1627 nucleotides. The record is from Ensembl. NCBI's taxonomy places the organism in Eukaryota, Metazoa, Chordata, Mammalia, Primates, Hominidae.
GACCUUUUGGUCUCUGCAGGGGAAGGAAACGUCGCCGAGCAGCAAGUUGUCCAAAGGAGAAAUGGAAAAGGAAGAACAAAUUAAGGCAGGGCCCGAAGGGAGAAUAAAGGAGCAGGCCCGAGGGGAGGCGUCAGGAAUGGUAGUGAGGAAGAGGCUGAAAAUGGGAGGCGGGGGAAAGCGCCAGGCCCGUGGGGCAGGGGAGAAAACGCGGCAGACGCGCCACCGGCGACGCGAGGAACCCAGGGCUUUAAGGAAGGGGAAGGAAACAAGGAAGGAAAACGAGGCCCGCCGAGAGAAGGGAACGCGGCGCGGCCCGGCCCGUGGGCUCCGAGGCCCGAGGAGAAGCGGGAAGAACAGGCUGAGGGAGAGGCGCCGGGCGCGGCCGGCCUGAGAGGCCCGAAACCUGGCCCGCAAGAGACGACGCCUCGGCUCGGCUCGGCCUGCCCAGGAGCGGCGGGCCCGGGCCUAGUCGGGCUCCUUCUCGCCUCACACAAUGGCCGAGGCAUGCGGGCCGGGCCUGUACCUGCUCCAAGAGGCUGCUGGCCGACAUGGCUCUCAGAUCCUCACGGGCGGCGACGGCGGCGAACUCUCCUCAGCGCGGCGGCGGCGGCAGAUGAGCCCCGUCUGCGGGAGCAGGCGGAGGCUUUUGUCCCUGACACUCGGGGGCCUCGGCGGACGCAGCGGAGACACAGCGCGCGGCUCAGGCUCCGGCUCCGACUCGGCGACGCUCUAGCCCAAGAGCUCAAUGCCCGUCUCUAUGCUUUUACGCGCGCGCCCGCCCCCCACCGCCUAAAGCAGAGCGCCGAACAGCGGAGGCGGGCGGCGCGCGCGGCGCGAGCGCUGACUCUCACAUUCACUCACCCACGCGGAAGGGGCCCGGCGCGAAGAACCCCGGGAAGGGAGAGGCCGGCCGCUGCGCCCUCUGGCGGAUUGGAGGAGCGGAAGCCGUGCUCACGGCCUCCCCGCCCCCACCGCCCCAGGAUUAAGGCCUAGGGGGUUUGGGACGACCAGGGUCGCACCACGAGGUUUCGACUAACACCUGGAAAGACUAGCUCUGGCUUCAGAAGAACGACAAAAGCCGGUUUCUCAGUGAGGGAGGGGCCUCCGAAGCCCGCGAGACCUUAAAAUGAACCUGCCUUCCAGCUGCAAGUGAUACCCCACCCCCAUCUGGGAGGUAACCCGACCCCUAGGGAGUCACACAGUCCCCAGGGAAACUUCAUGGGGGCCCUGUCCGGGAGUGACCCGCCCCCGCCCCCGCGAGGGGCUUGGUCAUCCUCUGUUAGCCGACUACAGAAAGAGUACCCAGAGAGCAAAACACACACCGAAAGAAUCCAGUCUCCCGCAAAAGAGAUUCACCCCUUAGCAUUGCAGGAAGGAGAAUCUACAAUUUAUUUUCGGGGAAAUCGCUGGCCCCAAGAUAAUCUGUUAAAUUGUGGACUUUAUUUCCAAGAAAAAUACACCUCAUGCAUCUACACAAAACUUUCAAGGAGUCCGGAGAACCUAUGAAUCUUAAGGACCUCAAGAGGGAAGCAAGGAAAUUAACAUUAUUGAAAUACCAGCUGUGGGCCAGGCUUUGUUGUUAGGUAUUUUCAAACACAUUAAAGUCUUUCGACAACUUCAAAAUCGC